Molecule: ribosomal RNA, 421 nt
Filed under: uncultured bacterium
Lineage: Bacteria
Description: bacterial SSU rRNA
Rfam family: Bacterial small subunit ribosomal RNA
Source: RNAcentral
UAAGGAAUAUUGGUCAAUGGACGCAAGUCUGAACCAGCCAUGCCGCGUGAAGGAUGAAGGCCCUCUGGGUUGUAAACUUCUUUUAUCUGGGAAGAAACCACUUUUUUAUAAGGGUGUUGACGGUACCAGAGGAAUAAGCACCGGCUAACUCCGUGCCAGCAGCCGCGGUAAUACGGAGGGUGCAAGCGUUAUCCGGAUUCACUGGGUUUAAAGGGUGCGUAGGUGGGAAUGUAAGUCAGUGGUGAAAUCUCCGUGCUUAACAUGGAAACUGCCAUUGAUACUAUGUUUCUUGAAUUUUCUGGAGGUAAGCGGAAUAUGUCAUGUAGCGGUGAAAUGCUUAGAUAUGACAUAGAACACCAAUUGCGAAGGCAGCUUGCUACAGGGAUAUUGACACUGAGGCACGAAAGCGUGGGGAUCAAAC